CGGCGGACGGGUGAGUAACACGUGGAUAACCUACCUAUAAGACUGGGAUAACUUCGGGAAACCGGAGCCAAUACCGGAUAAUAUAUUGAACCGCAUGGUUCAAUAGUGAAAGACGGUUUUGCUGUCACUUAUAGAUGGAUCCGCGCCGCAUUAGCUAGUUGGUAAGGUAACGGCUUACCAAGGCAACGAUGCGUAGCCGACCUGAGGAGGGUGAUCGGCCACACUGGAACUGAGACACGGUCCAGACUCCUACGGGAGGCAGCAGCC
This 267-nucleotide ribosomal RNA is filed under the name uncultured Staphylococcus sp. RNAcentral describes it as "partial 16S ribosomal RNA". It matches the Rfam family "Bacterial small subunit ribosomal RNA", at positions 96 to 355 of the family's 1533-position model. The record is from RNAcentral. Lineage: Bacteria; Bacillati; Bacillota; Bacilli; Caryophanales; Staphylococcaceae.